ACAAGUAAACAAAAAAGUAAGGGCCUGGCGGUGGCUACACAAUGCAGUCGAACGGCAGCACAGGAGAGCUUGCUCUCUGGGUGGCGAGUGGCGGACGGGUGAGGAAUACAUCGGAAUCUACUCUGUCGUGGGGGAUAACGUAGGGAAACUUACGCUAAUACCGCAUACGACCUACGGGUGAAAGCAGGGGAUCUUCGGACCUUGCGCGAUUGAAUGAGCCGAUGUCGGAUUAGCUAGUUGGCGGGGUAAAGGCCCACCAAGGCGACGAUCCGUAGCUGGUCUGAGAGGAUGAUCAGCCACACUGGAACUGAGACACGGUCCAGACUCCUACGGGAGGCAGCAGUGGGGAAUAUUGGACAAUGGGCGCAAGCCUGAUCCAGCCAUACCGCGUGGGUGAAGAAGGCCUUCGGGUUGUAAAGCCCUUUUGUUGGGAAAGAAAUCCAGCUGGCUAAUACCCGGUUGGGAUGACGGUACCCAAAGAAUAAGCACCGGCUAACUUCGUGCCAGCAGCCGCGGUAAUACGAAGGGUGCAAGCGUUACUCGGAAUUACUGGGCGUAAAGCGUGCGUAGUGGUCGUUUAAGUCCGUUGUGAAAGCCCUGAGCUCAACCUGGGAACUGCAGUGGAUACUGGGCGACUAGAUGUGGUAGAGGGUAGCGGAAUUCCUGGUGUAGCAGUGAAUGCGUAAAGAUCAGGAGGAACAUCCAUGGCGAAGGCAGCUACCUGGACCACAUUGACACUGAGGCACGAAAGCGUGGGGGAGCCAAACGGAUUAGAUACCCUG
RNAcentral lists this ribosomal RNA (782 nucleotides) under Stenotrophomonas maltophilia. Its description in RNAcentral is "bacterial SSU rRNA". It matches the Rfam family "Bacterial small subunit ribosomal RNA", at positions 1 to 789 of the family's 1533-position model. The record is from RNAcentral. Lineage: Bacteria; Pseudomonadati; Pseudomonadota; Gammaproteobacteria; Lysobacterales; Lysobacteraceae.